AAACUAGGAUUAGAUACCCUAUUAUAAAAUAAAUCAAUUGAAGCUAGUAAAAGUCUUUCUAAAAAUCUAAUUAAUUUGGCGGCAUUUUAACUUAUUAGAGGAGCCUGUGAACUAAUCGACAAUCCACGCAACAUCUCACUUCUAUAAAAAUUCAUAUACCAUUGUUGGUAGGAGUUCUAAAAAAGAUUAACUCCAAAAAAAAAUAGAAUUAAUUCUUCAAAUCAAGGUGUGAUAAAUAUAGGAAGAAAAACAUGUGCUACAAUUUUUAAAAAAGUGAAUAAAAGAAAAGUCAAAAAUGGAUUUAAUAGUAAAAUUUUCAUAAAAAGUAAAUUUGAAAUAGUCAUAAAAUGUGCACACAUCGCCCGUCGCUCUUA
Molecule: ribosomal RNA, 374 nt
Filed under: Acropsopilio chilensis
Lineage: Eukaryota; Metazoa; Arthropoda; Arachnida; Opiliones; Caddidae
Description: partial 12S ribosomal RNA
Source: RNAcentral